Molecule: microRNA precursor, 146 nt
Filed under: Malus domestica (apple)
Lineage: Eukaryota; Viridiplantae; Streptophyta; Magnoliopsida; Rosales; Rosaceae
Description: sRNA MD05G0249000
Rfam family: mir-399 microRNA precursor family
About the family: mir-399 was identified in both Arabidopsis thaliana and Oryza sativa computationally and was later experimentally verified. mir-399 is thought to target mRNAs coding for a phosphatase transporter.
Source: Rfam by way of RNAcentral
GGAUGCAUUACUGGGCAAUUACUGCUUUGGCAGUUGGUCAGUGACCUACUACCUGCAUGUAUACUAUACAGUUAUAUAUGUUUAUAUGAUUAUAUUAAACGUAGUCUGUGCUCACUGCCAAAGGAGAUUUGCCCCGCAAUUCAUCA